GCCUUUUAAGUUGUAUGCAUCCUGUAAUUAAGUAUUUUACUAACUUGGAAAAUUAUGUGGGUAGGAUGCAUCAUCACGUUGCACGUAUUAUUAUCAGAUUAUUUUCAGCUGGUGAGUGGGAUACAUUGCAUGCUUUGCAAUUUGUCUUAUUCACAAAGUUUUCCCGUCUUAAUUUUGAUUUGCUGAACUUUUCAUUAAACUAGUUGAGUUAAAGGGGCAUUUGAACAAAGAGAAAAUGCAUAAAAUUCCACAUUUUUUGUAUGUAUAUAUGUUUGAAGACACAUAGACACACGCACACACAUUAUGUUGUCACUAUUACCAAUAUAUUAC
RNAcentral lists this long non-coding RNA (330 nucleotides) under Ananas comosus (pineapple). RNAcentral's name for it is "long non-coding RNA (ACOM_LNC012927)". Lineage: Eukaryota; Viridiplantae; Streptophyta; Magnoliopsida; Poales; Bromeliaceae. The record is from RNAcentral.